UCCUGAGGUAGCUCAGUUGGUAGAGCAUGAGAUUCUUAAUCUCACAGUUUGAGCCCCACAUUGGGCA
Molecule: non-coding RNA, 67 nt
Organism: Podarcis lilfordi (Lilford's wall lizard)
Lineage: Eukaryota; Metazoa; Chordata; Lepidosauria; Squamata; Lacertidae
Source: the annotation of a GenBank genome assembly